Molecule: ribosomal RNA, 426 nt
Filed under: uncultured Pseudomonas sp.
Lineage: Bacteria; Pseudomonadati; Pseudomonadota; Gammaproteobacteria; Pseudomonadales; Pseudomonadaceae
Description: bacterial SSU rRNA
Rfam family: Bacterial small subunit ribosomal RNA
Source: RNAcentral
CGAAAGGAACGCUAAUACCGCAUACGUCCUACGGGAGAAAGCAGGGGACCUUCGGGCCUUGCGCUAUCAGAUGAGCCUAGGUCGGAUUAGCUAGUUGGUGGGGUAAUGGCUCACCAAGGCGACGAUCCGUAACUGGUCUGAGAGGAUGAUCAGUCACACUGGAACUGAGACACGGUCCAGACUCCUACGGGAGGCAGCAGUGGGGAAUAUUGGACAAUGGGCGAAAGCCUGAUCCAGCCAUGCCGCGUGUGUGAAGAAGGUCUUCGGAUUGUAAAGCACUUUAAGUUGGGAGGAAGGGCAGUAAGCUAAUACCUUGCUGUUUUGACGUUACCGACAGAAUAAGCACCGGCUAACUCUGUGUCAGCAGCCGCGGUAAUACAGAGGGUGCAAGCGUUAAUCGGAAUUACUGGGCGUAAAGCGCGCGUA